Molecule: ribosomal RNA, 166 nt
Filed under: uncultured bacterium
Lineage: Bacteria
Description: partial 16S ribosomal RNA
Rfam family: Bacterial small subunit ribosomal RNA
Source: RNAcentral
GCUAGUAAUGGCAGGUCAGCAUACUGCCGUGAAUACGUUCCCGGGCCUUGUACACACCGCCCGUCACACCAUGAGAGUUGGGAAUACCCGAAACCUGUGAGCUAACUUAUAGAGGCAGCAGUUGAAGGUAGAAUCAAUGAUUGGGGUGAAGUCGUAACAAGGUAAC